CGAGUAAACAAGGCAGCCGCGGGAAGAAGACCGCAAGGUGCUUCUCGAGGAAAGUCCGAGCUCCGCAGGGCAGGGUGCUGGGUAACGCCCAGUGAGGGUGACCUUAAGGCUAGUGCCACAGAAAACAUACCGCCCGGCAAUCAAAUCUUGCCUUCGUUAUCUAAAUGCAGAUUUAACACAGCUUAUAUUUAAAGCAACGCUAAAUUAUCAAACAACGAAAUAGUGAUCAUGAAAUUUCUAAAGAAGGUAAGAUUUGAUUGCCGGGUAAGGGUGCAACGGUGCGGUAAGAGCGCACCAGAAGCCGGGAGACCGGUUUGCUAGGUAAACCCCACCCGGAGCAAGACCAAAUAGGGGGAGGAUGAAGUUGCCCGCAGAUUCCCCGGGUUAGGUCGCUUGAGGUGUCAGGCAACUGAUAUCAAAGAUAGAUGGCUGCUGCUCAUGGUUUGCAACCAGUAAACCAUGAAAACAGAACUCGGCUUAUGAGUUUGCUCGGUUC
Molecule: non-coding RNA, 496 nt
Organism: Firmicutes bacterium ML8_F2
Lineage: Bacteria; Bacillati; Bacillota
Source: Rfam